GACGAACGCUGGCGGCGUGCUUAACACAUGCAAGUCGAACGGAAAGGCCCUGCUUUUGUGGGGUGCUCGAUUGGCGAACGGGUGAGUAACACGUGAGUAACCUGCCCUUGACUUUGGGAUAACUUUAGGAAACUGGGGCUCAUAUCGGAUAGGAUCUCCUGCUGCAUGGUGGGGGUUGGAAAGUUUCGGCGGUUGGGGAUGGUCUCGCGGCUUAUCAGCUUCUUUGUGGGGUAGUUGCUUACCAAGGCUUUGACGGCUAGCCGGCCUGAGAGGGUGGACGGCGACAUUGGGACUGAGGGAGGGACCAGACUCCUACGGUAGGCAGCAGUGGGGAAUCUUGCACAGUGGGCGGAAGCGUGAUGCAGCAACGCCGCGUGCGGAAUGACGGCCUUCGAGUUGUGAACCGCUUUCGCCUGUGACGAAGCGGGAUUGACGGUAAUGGGUAAAGAAGCAACGGCUAACUACGUG
This 468-nucleotide ribosomal RNA is filed under the name uncultured bacterium. RNAcentral describes it as "partial 16S ribosomal RNA". It matches the Rfam family "Bacterial small subunit ribosomal RNA", at positions 28 to 507 of the family's 1533-position model. The record is from RNAcentral.